CUUUUGAUCCAGAAGUUUUUAACAAGACUUGUUAAGUAUUUUUCUUUCUUUUCUUUCACAUUUUAUUGUUUGCUUACAAUUGUUUUGGAUUAUGAUUAAGUCCUGUGUCCUACCACAUCCCUUUAUUCAAUUUGCAUGAUUAUCUUCUGAUCUGACUUUUUUUUUUUUUUUGGACAAAUAUUCCAUGAUCAUUCCUUUAUUCCCACACUGGUUUUCGUCUGCAGAUUUGUCUAAAUCUGGAAUGGGUGCACCAAGCAUGGCGGCAGGGUGAGCCCCCUUCUGACCUGUCCCUCCCUGUGACGAGACCCAGCAGAGGCGGGGCGAGCGGGUGUGUGACAGUCUGGUUGCCUGGAAGCAGCUGGGGACACAAUGGGGCUUGGGAGGGGGUAGGGUGAGGUGUCCAGCUACCCUGCUUUGUCCUCCAAGCCACCAGGUGCGGUCCCACGCCAUGGGCUCAGACGUCUGGGUCGGGGCUUGGCGGCCUCACCUUCCCCGCGGCCCCAUAGCAGCGCUGUACAACGGCCCGGGGCCCAAGUACAAGCUGCCGCCCAACACCGGCUACCUCCUACACGACCCCUCGCGGCCGCGCGCCCCGGCCUUCACCUUCGGAAUGCGCCUCCCCGAGCGGCAGACGACGUGCGGGCCCGGCCCAGGCCACCUAGUGCCGCCCCGCUUGACCGUGCGAGGCCCUGACAGCGCCCCCGCCUACUCCAUCCAGGGCCGCCUGCGACACUCGGCGCCCUUCCGCACUCCUGGACCCGGCUUUGCCAGGGUUGGCCCAACCCCCGUUCCCGUCUCAAGACCCAUGCCCGGUCCACAUCCCUGGUGCGCCCCGCAGGCAGGUACUUCCCGGAACGCGCGGGGAACGCCACGUACCCCAGCGCGCCUCGCCACACAAUCGCACCCCGGAACUGGGGCGUCGGAGCCUGGCAGCAGACCCCAGGUGAGGCUGGAAAAGCCCCAUCCUCACAUCCCAGCCCCUAGCCAUCCCCCGGCCCACCGGCCCGACCGAGCCGACCCUGGGGCUCCUCCCAGGCCCCGGGGCUUACACGGUGCCCUCGCUUCUGGGCCCGGGCGUGAUCGGCAAGGUCUCGGCGCCCACCUACUCCAUCUACGGCCGCAGCGCGGUGGGCAGCUGCUUCGAGGACCUCAGCAAGAGCCCGGGGCCCUGUGCCUACCACGUGGUGAACCCUGGGGUCUAUAAGACCCGCGCCCCCCAGUUCACGAUGCUGGGGCGGACUUCGCCCCCCCGGGACAACACGCUCAAGCCGGGACCCGCAGCAUACAACGUGAACCAGCAUCGGAAGCCUGGCGGCUGGAGCUUCGGGAUCCGGCACUCGGAGUACCUGGCCCGGAUGGUGACCGAAGCGGACAAGUGACCCGGAGGGCGGGAGGGCAGGCCACUGCCCGUAGCCCUUUGCUUAAAGUUUCCAAGCCA
Molecule: non-coding RNA, 1438 nt
Organism: Heterocephalus glaber (naked mole-rat)
Lineage: Eukaryota; Metazoa; Chordata; Mammalia; Rodentia; Bathyergidae
Source: RefSeq, a predicted model, not a curated record